RNAcentral lists this transfer RNA (83 nucleotides) under Lepisosteus oculatus (spotted gar). It matches the Rfam family "tRNA". From Rfam's summary of the family: Transfer RNA (tRNA) molecules are approximately 80 nucleotides in length. Their secondary structure includes four short double-helical elements and three loops (D, anti-codon, and T loops). The record is from Rfam by way of RNAcentral. Lineage: Eukaryota; Metazoa; Chordata; Actinopteri; Semionotiformes; Lepisosteidae.
GACAGCGUGGUCGAGGGGUUAAGGCGAUGGGACUGCUAAUCCAUAGCGCUCUGCCCGCAUGGGUUCGAAUCCCAUCCCCUUCG